RNAcentral lists this ribosomal RNA (476 nucleotides) under uncultured organism. Its description in RNAcentral is "partial 16S ribosomal RNA". It matches the Rfam family "Bacterial small subunit ribosomal RNA", at positions 333 to 800 of the family's 1533-position model. The record is from RNAcentral.
ACACUCCUGCGGGAGGCAGCAGUGGGGAAUUUUGGACAAUGGGCGAAAGCCUGAUCCAGCAAUGCCGCGUGAGUGAAGAAGGCCUUCGGGUUGUAAAGCUCUUUUGUCAGGGAAGAAACGGUGAGAGCUAAUAUCUUUUGCUAAUGACGGUACCUGAAGAAUAAGCACCGGCUAACUACGUGCCAGCAGCCGCGGUAAUACGUAGGGUGCAAGCGUUAAUCGGAAUUACUGGGCGUAAAGCGUGCGCAGGCGGUUUUGUAAGUCUGAUGUGAAAUCCCCGGGCUCAACCUGGGAAUUGCAUUGGAGACUGCAAGGCUAGAAUCUGGCAGAGGGGGGUAGAAUUCCACGUGUAGCAGUGAAAUGCGUAGGUAUGUGGAGGAACACCGAUGGCGAAGGCAGCCCCCUGGGUCAAGAUUGACGCUCAUGCACGAAAGCGUGGGGAGCAAACAGGAUUAGAAACCCGUGUAGUCCCAUGA